RNAcentral lists this ribosomal RNA (528 nucleotides) under Cronobacter sakazakii. Its description in RNAcentral is "bacterial SSU rRNA". It matches the Rfam family "Bacterial small subunit ribosomal RNA", at positions 1 to 522 of the family's 1533-position model. Lineage: Bacteria; Pseudomonadati; Pseudomonadota; Gammaproteobacteria; Enterobacterales; Enterobacteriaceae. The record is from RNAcentral.
UGGAGAGUUUGAUCCUGGCUCAGAUUGAACGCUGGCGGCAGGCCUAACACAUGCAAGUCGAACGGUAACAGGAAGCAGCUUGCUGCUCUGCUGACGAGUGGCGGACGGGUGAGUAAUGUCUGGGAAACUGCCUGAUGGAGGGGGAUAACUACUGGAAACGGUAGCUAAUACCGCAUAACGUCUGCGGACCAAAGUGGGGGACCUUCGGGCCUCAUGCCAUCAGAUGUGCCCAGAUGGGAUUAGCUAGUAGGUGGGGUAACGGCUCACCUAGGCGACGAUCCCUAGCUGGUCUGAGAGGAUGACCAGCCACACUGGAACUGAGACACGGUCCAGACUCCUACGGGAGGCAGCAGUGGGGAAUAUUGCACAAUGGGCGCAAGCCUGAUGCAGCCAUGCCGCGUGUAUGAAGAAGGCCUUCGGGUUGUAAAGUACUUUCAGCGGGGAGGAAGGUGUUGUGGUUAAUAACCACAGCAAUUGACGUUACCCGCAGAAGAAGCACCGGCUAACUCCGUGCCAGCAGCCGCGGUA